Non-coding RNA from Hypanus sabinus (Atlantic stingray), 390 nucleotides. Lineage: Eukaryota; Metazoa; Chordata; Chondrichthyes; Myliobatiformes; Dasyatidae. The record is from the annotation of a RefSeq genome assembly.
ACUGUCAUCACUGAGAGAGUAAACCCUCCAAGGGAGAUGUUUCUUUUUCUGCAGUUCAUCCUCGCCUUCCGCUACGCGACCUCGGUGACGAUCCACCAGACGCCGGCUUUCUCCGGAUCUCCCGGCCGGAACGUAUCCCUGCGUUGCACUGUGGACGGUAUUACCGAUGCUGCUGACAUUGUGUACUGGUAUCGACAAUACCCCGGAAAGGGUCUGGAGAACAUGUUUUACUCGACGAUAGCUAAUUCCGUGAACCCAAACAGAUUGGUCGGCGGUUUUAAGGCGGAGAGACCAGAGACCAACAAGUUCUUCCUGAAGUCCGACAGUCUGGAGGCGAAUUCGUCGGCCGUGUAUUUCUGUGCGUGGAGUCAUCACGGCGGCUCAGAGUGA